This 66-nucleotide transfer RNA is filed under the name Nodopelta heminoda. Its description in RNAcentral is "tRNA-Asp". Lineage: Eukaryota; Metazoa; Mollusca; Gastropoda; Neomphalida; Peltospiridae. The record is from RNAcentral.
AAAAAAUUAGUUAAAUUUAUAAUAUUGAUUUGUCGUGUCAAAGUUACUGCUUAGCAGUAUUUUUUU